AACCAUUCUCACCUGCGGCUAGACCUGCGGAAGGAUCAUUAACGUACCUUUGUCCACUUGUGAGCCAACUCGUGGGAGUUCCGUCUCCUGCGUAGUUGGUUUACAAGCACCUGUGCAUUUUUAAAGUCUUAACCCUUAACCUUAACCUCUUGGCAAGCAUCUAGAUGUACUUUGUGCGUUUUAGGUGUUUGUCAAUGUUAAGGUUAAGACGGGAUUCUCGGCGCAAGUUGGGAAGCCCGG
RNAcentral lists this unclassified non-coding RNA (240 nucleotides) under soil metagenome. Its description in RNAcentral is "partial contains 5.8S ribosomal RNA, internal transcribed spacer 2, and large subunit ribosomal RNA". The record is from RNAcentral.